Molecule: ribosomal RNA, 433 nt
Filed under: uncultured bacterium
Lineage: Bacteria
Description: partial 16S ribosomal RNA
Rfam family: Bacterial small subunit ribosomal RNA
Source: RNAcentral
AACGAACGCUGGCGGCAUGCCUAACACAUGCAAGUCGAACGAGACCUUCGGGUCUAGUGGCGCACGGGUUCGUAACGCGUGGGAACCUGCCCUUAGGUUCGGAAUAACUCCCCGAAAGGGGUGCUAAUACCGGAUAAUGUCUUCGGACCAAAGAUUUAUCGCCUUUGGAUGGGCCCGCGUUGGAUUAGCUAGUUGGUAGGGUAAAAGCCUACCAAGGUGACGAUCCAUAGCUGGUCUGAGAGGAUGAUCAGCCACACUGGGACUGAGACACGGCCCAGACUCCUACGGGAGGCAGCAGUGGGGAAUAUUGGACAAUGGGCGAAAGCCUGAUCCAGCAAUGCCGCGUGAGUGAUGAAGGCCUUAGGGUUGUAAAGCUCUUUUACCCGGGAUGAUAAUGACAGUACCGGGAGAAUAAGCUCCGGCUAACUCCGUG